AUGCGAGGUUGCACUACCACAGGAAGACCCAGUAGUAACGGGCACAAAAAGUCCACCAUUGACGGGCGAGGCUAUCAGGAGCGCCCGCCGCUGCUAACAUGUCAACAGUGGCGACCGGGUCGCCCACCACUAGUAGAACAUUUUCAGUGGCGGGUUGUGCUUAGUGCCAGCCUUGCUUCUACUAAGAAGGGAUGUAUAACUUCGAUUCAAGCAGUUUAUGUACCCGCAGACGAUUUGAUCGACCCUACCCCUGCCACAACAUUUGCACAUUUGGAUGCUACUAUCAUACUUUCCAGAGGAUUAGCUUUCAAGGGUAUUUAUCCAGCAGUAGAUCCUUUAGAUUCAAUCGACGGGAAUAGCAAUGUCGGGCCUCCGUCUACACCCACCACAGUCGUGUGGGGUAGCACUGGCUAG
This 414-nucleotide ribosomal RNA is filed under the name Triticum aestivum (bread wheat). Its description in RNAcentral is "partial small subunit ribosomal RNA". Lineage: Eukaryota; Viridiplantae; Streptophyta; Magnoliopsida; Poales; Poaceae. The record is from RNAcentral.